AAAUUUUGUGGGGUUGAAUUAUUAUAGUCGUAAUACUUCAAAGGUUGGCAGAAAAGAAAAAUAGAAAAAGAAAAAGAAAAAAGAAAAGAAAAGAAGGAUGUCAAUACAUAUUCCUUCUAAAAAUGAAAAAAUGAGAAAAGAAAAGAGAAGUAACUGCAAUGUUGUUGUGUGAAAAUGAAUGAAGUUUUUAUUAAUUCAACUCCCACAGUUUCUUUCAAUUUUCUUUUGAUAUUUUGAAUUUUAACCUUUACCCCUUAGGAUUUACCUCACCCUUACCUUGACCAAAUUACAACCCGAAUAAAAGUCCUUUUGAUCUUUGUGUGCAUGUAUUUCAUCAAGUGUGGAUGUUAGAGUCUUUUUAAGUUUAUGGUAGUACUAAUUUUCAUGAUAUGUUUUAAGUGUAAAAAGUCAACCUAAACACUUGAG
This 426-nucleotide long non-coding RNA is filed under the name Lathyrus oleraceus (garden pea). Its description in RNAcentral is "Pisum sativum (pea) long non-coding RNA (PSAT_LNC017407)". The record is from RNAcentral. Lineage: Eukaryota; Viridiplantae; Streptophyta; Magnoliopsida; Fabales; Fabaceae.